Molecule: long non-coding RNA, 2018 nt
Filed under: Olea europaea subsp. europaea
Lineage: Eukaryota; Viridiplantae; Streptophyta; Magnoliopsida; Lamiales; Oleaceae
Source: RNAcentral
UCCCUUUUUAAUUGUUAGCGACUAACCUGCGCGAAACAAUAAUAUAUUCUCAAUCUCUUGCCGUGGUCUCUAAAAUAUCCGAACUCGUUGACCUCCAAUGUCUCUUCUGUUCAAUGGCAGUUGGGAGCCCGUAAGAAUGCAUAAUGGAAUUAUUAUGAGACGAAUAUAUUUUGUGUCCGCCUGUGAGAUGGUCAUCGUCUAAAGACAUCAAAAUAGGAAGUGUUUCACUAAACACUGCUAGAAGACACUGGUUCACUUGUUCAAUUCUAACUCUGGGCAUAAUUGGAAGAAGCAGUAAUUAAAAAAUCGAUAGGAUGCUCUCCGCCCGAAACACAAGAGAUUUGAGGAGUUGCUGAACUCCAGUGGCAUUGCUUACGACCCAUCAACCGACAGAAUUGAAGCAACGAAGGAGUGGUAGACUAAAAAGAUUGAGGUACCAUCGUUUUGUGAUUCAUCGCUCGUUUCCAGGCUUGUGUAUGAGAUUUGAAUAUCCUGUGGUUGUUUCAUUGAGUUCAUUACGCAUGAUUUUCUGUUAAAUGUCAUAGAUGUUGGUCAUUUUGAUUUUGGAUAAACACAUUUGCUUUGUGAGUGACUCGAGUUAGAUGUGUCUAUGGUGUAAUGAGGACGAUUUUAAGAAAGUAAUUUUCAUAUCACCAAUCUUGUGUUCAUGUAUUCGCCCAUUUGCUGAGAUUUCAUUUUUUCAUUAGUUCCACCAAGCAGGAAUUAUACCGAGCUAAACCCUAAGACAUUUUGUUAAUGCAAUUUUUUCUUCAGAAAUUACGAUAAAAUUCAUUUACACUUCCAUCUAUGCAUUUCAUGUAUGCGUCCGUGUAACAUAUGUGAUAGAACUAUCCGUUUGUACUGGCACAAGAGAACAAGGCCUACAAAGAGUUUAAGGACAAAGACUGCCGUCAGGUGUAUGGCUAUAAGGCUCUGUUCAGGGACGCAUUCAACAAUGAUAGGUAAGCAAUCACACCAACAAAGCUCCGUCGAACUGGGUUCGCAAUGUUCGAAGACAGUGGACAUGAAAACCACUAUGAUGAGGUUCCAAUUGAUGUCGAUAGCAGCGGAUCAAGUGACGAGCCUGACAUACCAAAUGGGGCUGUAGUAAGCAUGGAUGUCCCGCCUGCAUAGCGGGCACAAGCAAAAGUCUGAGUGUAACACCCCAAAUUUUCAUAAACUUUGAAAUGUCACAAAAAAAACUUACUUUUGUUUGUUUUAAAUACGAAAUGAUAAAAAUGGAUUUCUCUAAAAAUAAACUGUUAAAAUAUCCAUAAAUUUAAACUAAGGACGAAAAAUUGUGUCUUUUGAAAAAAUAAACAUAGUCAACUAACUAAUUAAAUAACAUGUCUUCAAAUAAAUUAAACUAACUAAUGAAUUUAAAGACAACAAAAAAAUAAAAAAGUAAAUUUUUUUGUAAUACUUUUCCCUUUCCAAUCCUUCUGGCAGGCAGCAUCACCAUCACACCACAGUUCUAAUCGAUCCAAACUAACCUGAAAAGUUAUUGUAAGAUUGACUAUUUAAAAUACUCAGUAAGAUACAUGUAGUUUUCAUACACAAUUAUAUAACAAAUAAAAUCUACACUUUAAACUUUGGUCUUAUGGAGUAUAUCCGUGACCAAACGACACACCCAUCUCAGAUCCUUUUAUAAUUCCGUAAGAUUUCAUCUCUCUUUUUAUAGAAGCCAGAGGUCUACUGGCAAUUUAUACAUAUUUAAUUGAAUAUAAAAGCACAAGGAAACGAAAACACUUGCACAAGAAUAUCUUACCUCGAUCGAUUAAAAAAUACGACUGCAAGUUUUAGAUAAUGGUGCGUGUAAUGCUUUGAAAUAAUUUCUAAUGGAUGAAAGGCUUCUCGUUUUUCUGAUAAUUUGGGACGGUUUCUAUUGGAGACAAUUAGUUGUGAAAUCUAACUAAUUUAAUGCCUUAUUUAUAGUGUGACUAGUUGAUGGACCCUAAUUAAUGAAGAAUUAGUUUUGAAGUUUAUCAUAAUCAAACUGAUUUUGGAUUAACUAAAAA